RNAcentral lists this ribosomal RNA (253 nucleotides) under uncultured bacterium. RNAcentral's name for it is "partial 16S ribosomal RNA". It matches the Rfam family "Bacterial small subunit ribosomal RNA", at positions 524 to 776 of the family's 1533-position model. The record is from RNAcentral.
UACGUAGGGAGCAAGCGUUGUCCGGAAUCAUUGGGCGUAAAGCGCGCGUAGGUGGCUUCGUAAGUCCGUUGUGAAAGUCAAAGGCUCAACCUUUGAAAGCCGAUGGAUACUGUGAAGCUAGAGUACGGAAGAGGCGAGUGGAAUUCCUGGUGUAGCGGUGGAAUGCGCAGAUAUCAGGAGGAACACCAACGGCGAAGGCAGCUCGCUGGGACGGUACUGACACUGAGGCGCGAAAGCGUGGGGAGCGAACAGG